UGGGGAAUAUUGGACAAUGGGCGCAAGCCUGAUCCAGCCAUGCCGCGUGAGUGAUGAAGGCCCUAGGGUUGUAAAGCUCUUUCACCGGUGAAGAUAAUGACGGUAACCGGAGAAGAAGCCCCGGCUAACUUCGUGCCAGCAGCCGCGGUAAUACGAAGGGGGCUAGCGUUGUUCGGAAUUACUGGGCGUAAAGCGCACGUAGGCGGACAUUUAAGUCAGGGGUGAAAUCCCGGGGCUCAACCCCGGAACUGCCUUUGAUACUGGGUGUCUAGAGUAUGGAAGA
Molecule: ribosomal RNA, 283 nt
Filed under: uncultured Ensifer sp.
Lineage: Bacteria; Pseudomonadati; Pseudomonadota; Alphaproteobacteria; Hyphomicrobiales; Rhizobiaceae
Description: partial 16S ribosomal RNA
Rfam family: Bacterial small subunit ribosomal RNA
Source: RNAcentral